RNAcentral lists this ribosomal RNA (536 nucleotides) under Fusarium oxysporum. RNAcentral describes it as "partial 18S ribosomal RNA". The stretch from base 207 to 360 matches the Rfam family "5.8S ribosomal RNA". Lineage: Eukaryota; Fungi; Ascomycota; Sordariomycetes; Hypocreales; Nectriaceae. The record is from RNAcentral.
UUUUUAAAGUAAAAAUCGUAACAAGGUCUCCGUUGGUGAACCAGCGGAGGGAUCAUUACCGAGUUUACAACUCCCAAACCCCUGUGAACAUACCACUUGUUGCCUCGGCGGAUCAGCCCGCUCCCGGUAAAACGGGACGGCCCGCCAGAGGCCCCCUAAACUCUGUUUCUAUAUGUAACUUGUGAGUAAAACCAUAAAUAAAUCAAAACUUUCAACAACGGAUCUCUUGGUUCUGGCAUCGAUGAAGAACGCAGCAAAAUGCGAUAAGUAAUGUGAAUUGCAGAAUUCAGUGAAUCAUCGAAUCUUUGAACGCACAUUGCGCCCGCCAGUAUUCUGGCGGGCAUGCCUGUUCGAGCGUCAUUUCAACCCUCAAGCACAGCUUGGUGUUGGGACUCGCGUUAAUUCGCGUUCCCCAAAUUGAUUGGCGGUCACGUCGAGCUUCCAUAGCGUAGUAGUAAAACCCUCGUUACUGGUAAUCGUCGCGGCCACGCCGUUAAACCCCAACUUCUGAAUGUGACCUCGGAUCAGGAGAUGAG